GUGCUCACUUUAUCAACACAUAUCCUAAAAUUGGAACGAUACAGAGAUUAGCAUGACCUCUGCGUGAGGAUGACACGCAAAUUUAUGGAAAAAAAAAAAAAAAAA
Lontra canadensis (Northern American river otter) is the source of this 105-nucleotide small nuclear RNA. Lineage: Eukaryota; Metazoa; Chordata; Mammalia; Carnivora; Mustelidae. The record is from RefSeq and is a predicted model, not a curated record.